Gopherus flavomarginatus (Mexican gopher tortoise) is the source of this 1467-nucleotide long non-coding RNA. RefSeq lists it as uncharacterized. Lineage: Eukaryota; Metazoa; Chordata; Testudines; Testudinidae. The transcript is spliced from 3 exons. The record is from RefSeq and is a predicted model, not a curated record.
UCACACUUUACAGGCAGCAGCAGAGAAGGCUCAUUGUCUGAAGUAACCGUUGGACUGUGCUUCUGCCUGGAUGUAGUGCUGGGCAGCAAUGAAAGUUACAGACAUAAGUACAAGCCCCUGGGAGGAGUCAACUCAGGCACCUGGUUAAGGAGAGAAAGUUCUUUUUGUAGGAACUACAGCACCCAACAUGGCACCCAGCAGUGUGCGCACAGCACCAGAUGACAACAGAAAGCAAAGCAAAUGGCUGUAUCCUUCAACACCAACUUAUUACAGUUUUAUCAGACCCUUCCAUCUGAAGGAUUGCAUCAUGUUAUUUUACGUCUGGACAAGAACAAACUUCAUCUUUGCCUCCUGAUCUUCUUGGUUAAAAUGGAUUGGAAGAUUUGAUCUGACAAGAGACCCUAUCUGUUGGAGUAUUGUCAGAAAAGUGGUUAUGUAAAAACAACACCCUCUUACCACAUUACAUUGUGCAUUUCUGAGCCAAAAUUGUUGACUUUACUCACAAAAAACAGGUUUGUAUUCCUGUUAUCCCUGCAGAGCCAACAGUUAUGAGCACCCUAACUGGACUUUAUUCUGCCUCCUACACCAUAAUCAACAUUGUCUGCAAAGCCCUCAUUGCAGAACCUUUACCUUUGGAGCUGAUGUUAGAGGAACAAUACAGGGAGAAACUGCAACAGAAGAAAAAGGGCAGUGGCAAGAGAGGUUUCUUCAAAUUAUUGGGCCUACAACUAGAAGACAAAAGUGGCUAGUUCACGUCACAAUGGUCUUCGUAUUGCCAAGCAGGACACAGAGGCUUCAAGGCAGAGACAAAGCAUCACUCACAAAGCUACAAAACUGUCCCAUUUCUAAACCAAUGGAAAGCAACACAGAGAAUUUUUAAAAAGAUCUUGAAAACGUCGUCAGGGCUAAAACAAAAUUUGUUUCUGGUAUGAUGCUAAAUUUCCAUUCCAAGUCACUGUAACAGUCCUGCUGGGAAAUUUGCUUCUGAAAUGCACACUGUGGGUUUUGUUUGUUGUUGUUUCUUGUUUUUUAAAUUAUGAGUACUGGGUAGAAUCUGAAUGAGAUAUUCUUCCCUCCCCCCAGGGUUCACUCUUGUAUUAGCAGAAAUCAAACAGGCUAGCCAUGUCUCUCUAACUAAUCUUCAGUCUGACACUGUUCACAUAGUACAGCUUUCGCUGCAGGAAGAGCCAGAAUUGGGCAAAUGCGUUUGCCCUCCAGCAAGUGAGGGAAACAAACAGGAAGAAUGCUACUUGCAUCUACUCUACUUUUAAUUUCUUGUUAGAGAGAAAACUAAAUUGUGAAGGAAAGAAUAAUAAUUCAUGAAGGUAAGCGGUAAAGGGGAUGUAAUGCAACAUGCAUUUAUCAAAGAUAGAUCAUGCCAUAUUAACUCGAUUUCCUUCUUUCAGAAAAUAACUUUUUUAGCUAGGAAAGAUUUACUGUACCUAAACUUCAGUAAUGCGUUUGACA